UCUGGCAACCCUGUGGGCCCACUAGCGAUGGACUGGAUAGACUGUUGUUCCGUAUGUUUAUGAUCGGGUUUGUAUGAUUUGUAGAGCACAAGCACUGACCUAUGUUUAUUAAAACGCUAUGGAAUUGCAAGCUGUAAUAUUAGCUGCAGGUCGGGGGUCACGGAUGACUGACCUCACAGCCAGCUUACCAAAAGCUUUGUUACCUGUUGCAAAUAAACCAAUGAUAUGGUAUCCAAUCAGCAUGCUGGAGAAGGCAGGAUUUGAUGAGGUGAUCAUAUUAACUUUGGAUAGUACAAAAGGCGCCAUCUAUCGGGCGUUAAAAUCUACACAAAUUCAAAUCAAAAUGGAUUUUGUCACAGUGUCUAGUGAGGAAGACUUGGGUACAGCAGACUCCCUCCGGAUCCUUAAUGAACAACGCAAAAUUAAGACUGACAUCCUUGUAGUGAGCUGUGACCUAAUAACUGACAUUGCUCUUCAUAAACUUGUUGAUGUGCACCGGACGUAUGACUCUACCAUGACGGCCCUGAUGAUGGCACUACCAGAGCAGUCCUCUGAAUCUCUUACUAUCCCAGGAACGAAAUCCAAAAAGAAAUUAGAAUCUCGGGAUUUAGUUGGCUUAGAUGAGAAAGGCCAGCGUCUAGUUUUUAUGGCUGCCGAAGAGGACAUUGAGGAGUUUCUAACUGUACGGAAGUCAAUUCUUGAAAAGCAUCCAUUUAUUAAAGUUGGCACAAGUUUACUAGAUGCCCAUAUGUAUAUAUUUAAGAAAUGGGUGAUUGAUUAUUUAUCAGAACAUAAAAAUAUUUCAUCUGUAAAAGGAGAAUUGAUUCCUUGUUUAGUGAAGAAGCAAUUUAUUAAGAAACGAGCUGAAGAUGUUGAUGAUGAAGGCUCUAUGGAGCAUGCUACACACAAUCACAAUUAUUCCAGUGUUGAUGCGCUGAAGCAGAAGACACUUGAAAUGUCAUCAUGGACUGGGGAUGAGGGAGGGAUUACAAAUGGUUGCAUAGCUAACAUUGAUGCUAUCAAAUGCCACGUAUAUGUCAUGGAUAGUGGUUUCUGCUCACGGGCAAACUCUCUGGCUGCGUACUGUGAUGUUAAUAGACAGAUUCUUCAGAGUAAACAUGUUUUAGAAGAAGAAAAUUUUGUGCAUUCAACAGCCAAAGUAAAACCAAAAACACAGGUUGGUCAGGAUUCAAUGGUAGGCGAGGAAAGCUCAGUUGGUGAGAAGGUUUCUGUUAAAAGAUCGGUAAUUGGUCAACAUUGUAACAUUGGAGAUAAGGUGAAAAUAGCCAACUCAAUAAUUAUGGACCAUGUCACUAUUAAGGAAGGGUGUGUUAUACAUGGCAGUGUUAUUUGUGGAAAUGCAAGUCUCAGUGAACAAGUGGAACUUAAAGAUUGUCUGGUUGGAAGCAAGCAAACAUUACCUGAAAAAGCUAAAUUCAGCAAUGAAAUUAUUAUUGACAACAACUACAUGAUGGAGAUAUGAGAGCAGUUUCGCUAAGUAAAGUAAAUUGAAGUAUGAACACUCAGUCAUUGGUAAAAGCAUGUCCGUCAUUGGUUAUAGCAGGCAGGCAUAUUUGGUAUUGUAGAAGAAGCAGUGCUUUGGCAACACCAUUCGUGUCAUCCAGUCCUGCUAUGGAUAAUGAGGUGGUUAUUACAGCAACUGUUUCCAUAAUUAAUAACAGUGUUUGAAAGUGAAAAUGUGUCUGAUGCAAAUUAACUUACUAGGUGAGACACCAAGAGACAUUUGUGUAUUUUCACAUCUAAUAUGUCUGUAUGCUUGUGUGAGAGCGCCACCCAGUAGUGUAAUGUUUGUAAGCUCUCUGUGGCAGAACCAAGGCUUUGACUUCUACCCAGCACUGUAAUACAUAGUCUUGACCAGUGUGCUCUCAUAGGGAAAUCUCCAUUUUCAAAGUUCAGAAAUGGCCUCUUACCCCACUACUCUGCUACAUUACUUUCCAGUAGAAGUCACCCAAAAAUAAGAAAACUAAAACAGUGUAAUUCUCAAUUUUAACUCAGCCAUUUUAUGUAGAGUAUUUACUGACAUAUAAUGGCCCCCAACAUAUUCAUCCUCCAAUUCUCUCCCCCCCCCCAUACAUAGCCCUUGACUCACUGUUUCACCACUUGUGCCACCAUGUUAGGAUUUGCUCGGUAUUGUUCAAUGCAUGCUAUAGAAUUCUAUUAUAAGUGUUCUUGCUAUUUAGCAUUAUUUAUGUCCCCCCAAAUUGAAACCAUCUGCUGGCCCAUGGCCUAAUGUUUUUGGUACCUGUGCGAUUAUGCUAAUUAUUCAUUUACAUAAUUAAUACUUAAUUAUUGAGUGCAUUUGCAAUGUAGACUUCCAUAAUUCCCAAUAAUUUACAUGAAAUAAUGUUGAUACUUGAUAUUUUUGAAUGUAAACAAAAUCUGCAAUUCAGUUCGCAGUUGGUUUGGAAAUAUUUUUAUUAUUAUUAUACUUUUUAAAAUUAAUAAACUGUUAAGUAAAUAUCAGUUUAAUGUAUUUCAUGUUGUUUAAUGAAAUAAAAGUUUCAAACUGUUGCAGUUAAAACUAAUCCAAUCCGAAACUCACAAUAAAUUGGACUUGUGACCAGCAGAGCGAGUUGAUCAGCAACCAAAUUCAAGUGAUCUGUGUUUGACACAGUACAGUUUUUCAUGCUUUAGUAAAAAAAAUUAAUCAGAAAUCGCUUUAGGCGUUCUGUAAUGUCUGUUCAUGUUAUCGUCUGGGGCUUAAGCCUAGUAUGUGUAGGUAGGUCUUUCUAUUAGACGUGAGGUGCAAAAUGAGCUUGCAACAACUCUACGUAGCACCUUCUAUAAUUUUUGUUAAACUCCUUUGUCAACGUUCGUCGUACAUAUUUUGUGAAAAAAUUACAUCGCAGGGAGGUAAUAUUUUACUACAUAGCACAUAAGGAGUUAUUCUAAUAAAUUUAUAUAAAUUUAAUAGUUAAAUGCGCAUCGAGUGAGAGAAAUUUGAGGGCAUACCUACACAUAGAUAUUUUACCUAGAAUCAGGUCACCAUGCAUGCAGUUGCAUAAUGGUGGCACUGGAGGCUCUGCCUUCUGACUGGGGCCAUUUUGCAUCAUGGUCACCAAUUCCAUCGUGGGAUUUUUGAUGUGUUCAUUUUUUAAUCAUGUUCGUCAUUGUAUUCUAAAUUGUUUUAUGAUGAUAUCGGUGCGAAUCCGCUAACUUGAAAUGGAGGAGCUCAGGGAGGGUCUAUACCACCUUAGCCCCACUGUGGUUCGUGUUUACCUGUAUGGCACCUCCAGGUGGCCGGAAGUAGCACUCACAAGCUUAAAAAUAUAUUUUCUUUUUAUCUCCAUUUUUUUAAAUGUCUCCUCCCCACCAACUUUAAUGGUCACUGGAUAUAAUAUGGUAUAUGGCAGUCUGCUGUUAUGUAUCAACAAAGCUCCUUUCGGUCAGUUUGUCUAGACCUUCCUGGCCCUAAUGGUUAUUGGCCCCGCGGACUGCAGCACGAGAGCAUGUAGGCAUUACGCCACUGCAUUUUCCCAAGUUAGGUCACAUGACUCGUAUUCGUAUGUUGUACUUGUUUUUCUUAGUAAUAUUAUAUGCCUGUGAAUAACCACAUUUAGUCGGUUAUAUCAAAUUGUAAUAGAACGUAACCCUGCAUUUUAUUAUUUAAAAAAAAUAACCUAAUACUUCAAAACGAUGCUUUAAUCUCGUAUUUCUAGUACUAUUUGUACAUUAAUCAUGUACCUUAUCACUUGACUUGUAUGACCUUUUUACCACAUUUUCUGCAACCUAUACUUUCCUAAAAUAUAUUUAGUGUCCUCACGAAUGUCACGAUGUAAGUUUCAGCACAAAAAUUCUGGAAUUCAGUGGAAAUAAAUUAUGCAAACCAGUGGUAAA
Molecule: unclassified non-coding RNA, 3858 nt
Filed under: Anneissia japonica
Lineage: Eukaryota; Metazoa; Echinodermata; Crinoidea; Comatulida; Comatulidae
Description: translation initiation factor eIF-2B subunit gamma- like, transcript variant X3
Source: RNAcentral